RNAcentral lists this ribosomal RNA (604 nucleotides) under uncultured organism. Its description in RNAcentral is "bacterial SSU rRNA". It matches the Rfam family "Bacterial small subunit ribosomal RNA", at positions 335 to 930 of the family's 1533-position model. The record is from RNAcentral.
ACUCCUACGGGAGGCAGCAGUGGGGAAUUUUGGACAAUGGGGGCAACCCUGACCCAGCCAUUCCGCGUGAGUGAAGAAGGCCUUCGGGUUGUAAAGCUCUUUCGGCAGGAACGAAACGGUGAGCUCUAACAUAGCUUGCUAAUGACGGUACCUGAAGAAGAAGCACCGGCUAACUACGUGCCAGCAGCCGCGGUAAUACGUAGGGUGCGAGCGUUAAUCGGAAUUACUGGGCGUAAAGCGUGCGCAGGCGGUUGUGUAAGACAGGUGUGAAAUCCCCGGGCUUAACCUGGGAACUGCGCUUGUGACUGCACAGCUAGAGUAUGGCAGAGGGGGGUGGAAUUCCACGUGUAGCAGUGAAAUGCGUAGAGAUGUGGAGGAACACCGAUGGCGAAGGCAGCCCCCUGGGCCAAUACUGACGCUCAUGCACGAAAGCGUGGGGAGCAAACAGGAUUAGAUACCCUGGUAGUCCACGCCCUAAACGAUGUCGACUAGGUGUUCGGUGAGGAGACUCAUUGAGUACCGCAGCUAACGCGUGAAGUCGACCGCCUGGGGAGUACGGUCGCAAGAUUAAAACUCAAAGGAAUUGACGGGGACCCGCACAAGC